Molecule: unclassified non-coding RNA, 657 nt
Filed under: Zygosaccharomyces sp. NBRC 10670
Lineage: Eukaryota; Fungi; Ascomycota; Saccharomycetes; Saccharomycetales; Saccharomycetaceae
Description: sequence contains ITS1, 5.8S rRNA gene and ITS2
Rfam family: 5.8S ribosomal RNA (bases 247-400)
Source: RNAcentral
GACCUGCGGAAGGAUCAUUAUAGAAAAUGACGUGAACUCUUAACGGAGUUCUCUCAAAGUGUUGGAGGGGAAGGCCUGCGCUUAAUUGCGCGGCUGUUUUUAAUCUCCUCCGCCUUUGAUACACACAUUGGAGUUUCUACUUUUUUGUUCUCUUUGGGAGGGUUCUGCUCUCCCAGAGGUAAACACAAACAAUCUUUUAUUAUACUAUUAACACAGUCAAAUGAAUUUUAAAAACAAAAUAUUCAAAACUUUCAACAACGGAUCUCUUGGUUCUCGCAUCGAUGAAGAACGCAGCGAACUGCGAUACGUAAUGUGAAUUGCAGAAUUCCGUGAAUCAUCGAAUCUUUGAACGCACAUUGCGCCCCUUGGUAUUCCGGGGGGCAUGCCUGUUUGAGCGUCAUUUCCCUCUCAAACUUUACGUUUGGUAGUGAGCGAUACUCUACUCUGGAGUUUGCUUGAAAAUGGGAGGCCAUAGGCGAAGCAUUGCUUUCCAAUCCUGCGGCCCUCUGCUUACUUCCCCUUGUGGGUUGUGGCAGGGGAAAGCGGGAGGCGCCUUGCCACGAUAGUCGUAUUAGGUUUUACCGACUCGGCGAAAGUGAAGAGGUUUGCUUUUUAAAAAGAAGCAGGCAGCGUCUGGCUUGACAUAAAUUCUCAAAG